This 492-nucleotide ribosomal RNA is filed under the name uncultured bacterium. RNAcentral describes it as "partial 16S ribosomal RNA". It matches the Rfam family "Bacterial small subunit ribosomal RNA", at positions 29 to 507 of the family's 1533-position model. The record is from RNAcentral.
AGUGAACGCUGGCGGUAGGCCUAACACAUGCAAGUCGAACGGCGGCACAGUAAGAGCUUGCUCUUACGGGUGGCGAGUGGCGGACGGGUGAGGAAUACAUCGGAAUCUACUUUUUCGUGGGGGAUAACGUAGGGAAACUUACGCUAAUACAGCAUACGACCUACGGGUGAAAGCAGGGGAUCUUCGGACCUUGCGCGAUUGAAUGAGCCGAUGUCGGAUUAGCUAGUUGGCGGGGUAAAGGCACACCAAGGCGACGAUCCGUAGCUGGUCUGAGAGGAUGAUCAGCCACACUAGAACUGAGACACGGUCCAGACUCCUACGGGAGGCACCAGUGGGGAAUAUUGGACAAUGGGCGCAAGCCUGAUCCAGCCAUACCGCGUGGGUGAAGAAGGCCUUCGGGUUGUAAAGCCCUUUUGUUGGGAAAGAAAAGCAGCAGGUUAAUACCCAGCUGUUCUGACGGUACCCAAAGAAUAAGCACCGGCUAACUUCGUG